Molecule: unclassified non-coding RNA, 203 nt
Filed under: soil metagenome
Description: partial contains 5.8S ribosomal RNA, internal transcribed spacer 2, and large subunit ribosomal RNA
Source: RNAcentral
AACCUAGCACACCUGCGGUGUGUACCUGCGGAAGGAUCAUUACCUAGAGUUGUAGGCUUUGCCUGCUAUCUCUUACCCAUGUCUUUUGAGUACCUUACGUUUCCUCGGUGGGUUCGCCCGCCGGUUGGACAAAACUUAAACCCUUUGUAGUUGCAAUCAGCGUCUGAAAAAACUUAACAGUUACAACUUUCAACAAUGGAUCU